Molecule: non-coding RNA, 68 nt
Organism: Mycobacterium kumamotonense
Lineage: Bacteria; Bacillati; Actinomycetota; Actinomycetes; Mycobacteriales; Mycobacteriaceae
Source: Rfam
AACUCGAUCGGGUCGCAGUUGCGGGUGACGACGAGGUAGUCGCGCAGCGCGAUGCCGUGCCGAUUCUC